UACGUGGGGUGCGAGCGUUGUCCGGAAUUAUUGGGCGUAAAGGGCUCGUAGGCGGUUUGUCGCGUCGGGAGUGAAAAUCCAGGGCUUAACUCUGGACUGGCUUCCGAUACGGGCAGACUAGAGGUAUGCAGGGGAGAACGGAAUUCCUGGUGUAGCGGUGAAAUGCGCAGAUAUCAGGAGGAACACCGGUGGCGAAGGCGGUUCUCUGGGCAUUACCUGACGCUGAGGAGCGAAAGCGUGGGGAGCGAACAGG
Molecule: ribosomal RNA, 253 nt
Filed under: uncultured bacterium
Lineage: Bacteria
Description: partial 16S ribosomal RNA
Rfam family: Bacterial small subunit ribosomal RNA
Source: RNAcentral